RNAcentral lists this ribosomal RNA (429 nucleotides) under Bacteroidota bacterium. RNAcentral's name for it is "Bacteroidetes bacterium partial 16S ribosomal RNA". It matches the Rfam family "Bacterial small subunit ribosomal RNA", at positions 355 to 776 of the family's 1533-position model. Lineage: Bacteria; Pseudomonadati; Bacteroidota. The record is from RNAcentral.
UAGGGAAUCUUCCGCAAUGGACGCAAGUCUGACGGAGCAACGCCGCGUGAGUGAAGAAGGAUUUCGGUUCGUAAAACUCUGUUGUUAGAGAAGAACAGCGCAUAGAGUAACUGUUAUGCGUGUGACGGUAUCUAACCAGAAAGCCACGGCUAACUACGUGCCAGCAGCCGCGGUAAUACGUAGGUGGCAAGCGUUGUCCGGAUUUAUUGGGCGUAAAGCGAGCGCAGGCGGUCAAUUAAGUCUGAUGUGAAAGCCCCCGGCUCAACCGGGGAGGGUCAUUGGAAACUGGUUGACUUGAGUGCAGAAGAGGAGAGUGGAAUUCCAUGUGUAGCGGUGAAAUGCGUAGAUAUAUGGAGGAACACCAGUGGCGAAGGCGACUCUCUGGUCUGUAACUGACGCCGAGGCUCGAAAGCGUGGGUAGCAAACAGG